Molecule: ribosomal RNA, 174 nt
Filed under: uncultured bacterium
Lineage: Bacteria
Description: partial 16S ribosomal RNA
Rfam family: Bacterial small subunit ribosomal RNA
Source: RNAcentral
CGGAAUUGCUAGUAAUCGCGAAUCAGCAUGUCGCGGUGAAUACGUUCCCGGGCCUUGUACACACCGCCCGUCAAACCAUGAGAGUUGGGAAUACCCGAAGUCUGUAAUCUAACCGCAAGGAGGAUGCAGCCGAAGGUAGGCUCAAUGAUUGGGGUUAAGUCGUAACAAGGUAUC